RNAcentral lists this unclassified non-coding RNA (287 nucleotides) under Erysiphe fernandoae. RNAcentral's name for it is "partial ITS2". Lineage: Eukaryota; Fungi; Ascomycota; Leotiomycetes; Helotiales; Erysiphaceae. The record is from RNAcentral.
AUAACAACCCCCUCGAGCCGCCCGUUUAUGGUGUGGCUUUGGUGUUGGAGUGCGUCGCGCGUCGACGGCUCUGAAAAACAGUGGCGGUCUCGGCGUGAGCUCUACGCGUAGUACUUUACUCCUCGCGACAGAGAGACGACGGUGACUUUGCCAAUAAGCGAAAAACCCAAGGCAAAGGACGAGCGAGCGAAGAAAACCCAUGGCGGUAUAAGUAACGGCCGAGUUUAUGGUUGUCGCCCCCCCACGUGUUUGCGCGAGCCCGUCUCCCUUGGGGGUUCUUCCACAGG